Molecule: ribosomal RNA, 153 nt
Filed under: uncultured Acidobacteriota bacterium
Lineage: Bacteria; Pseudomonadati; Acidobacteriota
Description: uncultured Acidobacteria bacterium partial 16S ribosomal RNA
Rfam family: Bacterial small subunit ribosomal RNA
Source: RNAcentral
AGCCUGACGACGCAACGCCGCGUGGAGGACGAAGAUCUUCGGGUCGUAAACUCCUGGUCGAGCGGGACGAACGCUUCGCGGGUGAAUAACCUGCGGAGGUGACGGUACCGCUAAAGGAAGCCCCGGCUAACUCCGUGCCAGCACCGCGGUAAU